This 316-nucleotide ribosomal RNA is filed under the name uncultured eukaryote. RNAcentral describes it as "partial 18S ribosomal RNA". It matches the Rfam family "Eukaryotic small subunit ribosomal RNA", at positions 1470 to 1796 of the family's 1831-position model. The record is from RNAcentral.
CCCUUAGAUGUUCUGGGCUGCACGCGCGCUACACUGAUGCACUCAACGAGUUUACGACCUUGCCUGGAAGGGUUGGGUAAUCUUUUUAACAUGCAUCGUGAUGGGGAUAGAUUAUUGCAAUUAUUAAUCUUCAACGAGGAAUUCCUAGUAAGCGCGAGUCAUCAGCUCGUGCUGAUUACGUCCCUGCCCUUUGUACACACCGCCCGUCGCACCUACCGAUUGAAUGGUCCGGUGAAGCCUCCGGAUUGGCGCGCACCUCGGUGCCGCCGAGAAGUUGGCUAAACCUUACCAUUUAGAGGAAGGUGAAGUCGUAACA